Molecule: non-coding RNA, 21 nt
Filed under: Caenorhabditis elegans
Lineage: Eukaryota; Metazoa; Nematoda; Chromadorea; Rhabditida; Rhabditidae
Source: RNAcentral
UCUGGCUGAAUUUAAGAUUCU